Molecule: long non-coding RNA, 940 nt
Filed under: Linum usitatissimum (flax)
Lineage: Eukaryota; Viridiplantae; Streptophyta; Magnoliopsida; Malpighiales; Linaceae
Description: long non-coding RNA (LUSI_LNC007058)
Source: RNAcentral
CAACAAAAUGUGGAAAUGUUGAAUUAUAAUCUUCGUAAAAUCUGAACAGCUACGUUUAUAACAAAGACUUCAGAGCUCAAAGUUCAUGGAUCCUUUUCUGUAUUUUAAUGUCGAAUGUCAAACAAUUUUAAGUAUGCAUAUUUAAAUUGUAGAACGGAUAUAUUUUGCACAUACAGUGAAUUAGUAGCAACCUAUUAAAAAGUACACGCUAGAAAUCAGGAUGACACCUAACAUAUAAGGAAUCACAAUUGUUCUUAGUCAACAUACGACAUAGUUAGCAAUAGCCCAACUACUUUUCUGGAUGGGUACGCCUGUUUUGAUCCGGGGAUGCACAAAUUAUGCAUGACCUUGGUGUAACGUAUGGUGUCUUGUGUGUCAAUAAGCGGAUACACUGCCUUCCUCUUCAUGAAGGUCUCUGAGUGGUAGCCCUUCGGAUAAGAUAGUUACCCGUCCUGACUUUCUAGCAUCCACCAUGGCCCUAACAUUUGUAUCAUCUAUAAUCCAAUAAAACCUCGUGAUUGUGUAAGCUCCAACAUGGCCAAAAACCAAUAAUGCGAAGAGAUGUGUAGUGCAACUUCUCGAAGGCCAGCUGACGUAAGUAGCAGUAUCCAAUUUUGUGUGGAUUUAGGUGUUCAAGACUCCGCAUCCCUCUUAGAUAUUCUCGGCCAUAAUUACUCUCUGAAAUCUGGCCUCCAAAUCAUUGUUCAUAAGUAGCAUUGUCAUCCAUGGAAUCCUAGCUAGGUAAUUGGAUCCGCAUAGAAUAGAUUUAGUUCAUCUAUGAAAUCGAGUAAUAAAAGCUCAAUAUACCAACAACAUAUUGAAUAUUUAACGAAAACUAGCCCGAGAAAUUGACUAACACACAGAAAUACUCGAUUAACAAAAAUCUUGACCUUAAUGUUGGGGUCAGUAUCGGGGAUUAUAGAGGGGAGAAAUGAUACAU